This 324-nucleotide unclassified non-coding RNA is filed under the name uncultured fungus. Its description in RNAcentral is "partial contains small subunit ribosomal RNA, internal transcribed spacer 1, and 5.8S ribosomal RNA". The stretch from base 1 to 73 matches the Rfam family "Eukaryotic small subunit ribosomal RNA", at positions 1759 to 1831 of the family's 1831-position model. The record is from RNAcentral. Lineage: Eukaryota; Fungi.
GCAAACUUGGUCAUUUAGAGGAAGUAAAAGUCGUAACAAGGUUUCCGUAGGUGAACCUGCGGAAGGAUCAUUAAUGAAGUUUGAUGAAAUAUUGUUUAAUAUUUCAACUUCUCAUCCUUUGUCUAAAUAUUAUCUUGUUUGCUUCGGCAUGUCAGUCAUCUUGACGGUCGGUCGGUGUUCUCACUGAUUGAUUAGUUACUGCCGAUAGCCUAUUUUAACAUUCUUUGAUAUAAAUCAUGUCUGAAAAACAUUUUUUAUGAAAAUAAAAAAACUAAAACUUUCAACAACGGAUCUCUUGGUUCUGGCAUCGAUGAAGAACGCAGC